Molecule: long non-coding RNA, 274 nt
Filed under: Sorghum bicolor (sorghum)
Lineage: Eukaryota; Viridiplantae; Streptophyta; Magnoliopsida; Poales; Poaceae
Description: long non-coding RNA (SBIC_LNC003738)
Source: RNAcentral
CAACACGAACACAGGAAGGUAACCAAACUACUACCACCGAUCCGAGACACCUAGCCAGGAAACUACCCUGACCUAACCUAGCCGCCGAAGCCGUAGAGGGUGCGGCCCUGGCGCUUGAGGGCGUAGACGACGUCCAUGGCGGUGACGGUCUUGCGGCGGGCGUGCUCCGUGUAGGUGACGGCGUCGCGGAUGACGUUCUCGAGGAAGAUCUUGAGCACGCCGCGGGUCUCCUCGUAGAUCAGACCGGAGAUGCGCUUCACGCCGCCCCUCCUCG